Molecule: ribosomal RNA, 253 nt
Filed under: uncultured bacterium
Lineage: Bacteria
Description: partial 16S ribosomal RNA
Rfam family: Bacterial small subunit ribosomal RNA
Source: RNAcentral
GACGAACCGUGCAAACGUUGUUCGGAAUCACUGGGCAUAAAGGGCGCGUAGGCGGCUUAUCAAGUCAGGGGUGAAAUCCGGCAGCUCAACUGUCGAAGUGCCUUUGAUACUGACGAGCUCGAGGGAGGUAGGGGUCUGUGGAACUUCCGGUGGAGCGGUGAAAUGCGUUGAUAUCGGAAGGAACGCCGGUGGCGAAAGCGACGGACUGGACCUCUUCUGACGCUGAGGCGCGAAAGCUAGGGGAGCAAACGGG